GAGUUUGAUCCUGGCUCAGGACGAACGCUGGCGGCGUGCUUAACACAUGCAAGUCGAACGAAGAACGAUGGGAGCUUGCUCCUAUCAAUCUUAGUGGCGAACGGGUGAGUAACGCGUAAUCAACCUGCCCUUCAAUGGGGGACAACAGUUGGAAACGACUGCUAAUACCGCAUACGAUCGUAAUUCGGCAUCGAGAUACGAUGAAAGGUGGCCUCUAUUUAUAAGCUAUCGUUGAAGGAGGGGAUUGCGUCUGAUUAGUUAGUUGGAGGGGUAACGGCCCACCAAGGCAAUGAUCAGUAGCCGGUCUGAGAGGAUGAACGGCCACAUUGGGACUGAGACACGGCCCAAACUCCUACGGGAGGCAGCAGUGGGGAAUCUUCCGCAAUGGACGAAAGUCUGACGGAGCAACGCCGCGUGAGUGAUGAAGGUCUUCGGAUUGUAAAGCUCUGUUAAUCGGGACGAAAGAGCCUAGUGUGAAUAAUGCUAGGAAGUGACGGUACCGGAAUAGAAAGCCACGGCUAACUACGUGCCAGCAGCCGCGGUAA
This 545-nucleotide ribosomal RNA is filed under the name uncultured bacterium. RNAcentral's name for it is "bacterial SSU rRNA". It matches the Rfam family "Bacterial small subunit ribosomal RNA", at positions 9 to 523 of the family's 1533-position model. The record is from RNAcentral.